RNAcentral lists this long non-coding RNA (334 nucleotides) under Homo sapiens (human). Its description in RNAcentral is "HSALNT0388535". Lineage: Eukaryota; Metazoa; Chordata; Mammalia; Primates; Hominidae. The record is from RNAcentral.
CGUUUACAGCAUGCCUGACAGAAAUAGAGAAUAGAGCAGCGUGCCCUGACUGCUCCACAAGAUGGUUAUUUAGCACAAGCAAGAUAACAUAUAUGGAAGCUCUAUAAAGCCCAUUUCAAAUGCAAGGGAACGCCAUGGGGUGACAAUGUAAUCUCGUGGCUGUGUGAAGCUCUGCACCAGUUGAUUACGGAGUUGGAGGAGCUCAGGUACUGAAAAUUGUGGGAGCACCACUGGUCACCUACAGGCCAAGGCAAUGUCAAGUUCAAAUAAUAGUGUACCCCUUGAUCAAACUUUAAUGAGAUGUAAAUGAGGCGUUUUAAUAAAGAAAUCUUUU